AGCAGCCGCGGUAAUUCCAGCUCCAAUAGCGUAUAUUAAAGUUGUUGCAGUUAAAAAGCUCGUAGUUGAAUUUCGGGGUUAGUAGGUUGGUCAUGCCUCUGGUAUGUACUGGUCUCACUGAUUCCUCCUUCCUGAUGAGCCGUAAUGCCAUUAAUUUGGUGUUGCGGGGAAUUUGGACUGUUACUUUAGAAAAAAUUAGAGUGUUUAAAGCAAGCUAACGCUUGAAUACAUUAGCAUGGAAUAAUGAAAUAGGACGUUCGAUCCUAUUUUGUUGGUUUCUAGGAUUGACGUAAUGAUUAAUAGGGAUAGUUGGGGGCAUUAGUAUUCAAUUGUCAGAGGUGAAAUUCUUGGAUUUAUUGAAGACUAACUACUGCGAAAGCAUUUGUCAAGGAUGUUUUCAUUAAUCAAGAACGAAAGUUAGGGGAUCGAAGACGAUCAGGUACCGUCGUAGUCUUAACCAUAAACUAUGCCGACUAGGGAUCGGAUGAUGUUAAUUUUUAAUGACUCAUUCGGCGCCUUA
This 520-nucleotide ribosomal RNA is filed under the name uncultured Glomus. Its description in RNAcentral is "SSU rRNA". It matches the Rfam family "Eukaryotic small subunit ribosomal RNA", at positions 569 to 1090 of the family's 1831-position model. The record is from RNAcentral. Lineage: Eukaryota; Fungi; Glomeromycota; Glomeromycetes; Glomerales; Glomeraceae.